Long non-coding RNA from Armigeres subalbatus, 363 nucleotides. RefSeq lists it as uncharacterized. The record is from RefSeq and is a predicted model, not a curated record. The transcript has 4 exons. Lineage: Eukaryota; Metazoa; Arthropoda; Insecta; Diptera; Culicidae.
GAUCGCUCUGAGUCAAUGUAUUGAAAUCCCUGUUCCGUCAUCGUCUUGCAUAAAGCAUAUUACCGUUCCUUACCAAUCGUCCGCUUGCCUAUAGAGGUAGAGAGUAGGAAGAGGUUUGUUGUUGUGGGAGAAAACUAGAUUUUGAGUUCGUUCACCAACCCACUUGAGAUCGUUUUCUUGCACUCGGAGGGUGUAACAUCUGACAUCAGCUAGAAUGAGGCUCUGUGAUAGGCUCUGCUGAACUUCUAUAACAAGCUGCAUGUGCAUGCGAGCCUGCUACUUGGAGUAAAAAUGGAUCUCUACAACGAUCCGACAGGCACAAGUAGGCGAAGUGUGCAGCGAUCAGGUAGAAGACGAUUUACG